Long non-coding RNA from Oncorhynchus tshawytscha (Chinook salmon), 2026 nucleotides. The record is from Ensembl. NCBI's taxonomy places the organism in Eukaryota, Metazoa, Chordata, Actinopteri, Salmoniformes, Salmonidae.
UUUUGUAUUAUUUUCUUUGAAAGAACAACUAGUGGGUUUUGAGUGCUUCUACCCUAUUUGGGAAGUUGGUCUGCCUGCUCCUCAGUCUGAGAGAGAUUCUGAGAGCAGGUUCGUGUCUCCUUCCUCUGUACAUAAAAACUGUACUGUAUAACAUAAGUGUUUUUGGAAAACUGGUUCAUAUAUCCUGAAGUCAAUAGCGAAUAUGGCUAUGAAAAUAUUUAAUUUGCCGUUAAUGUAUUGAAGACCUAUUUCAACAAGUUAACCAAGUUUUUGCUGGCUUAGCUAGCCAUGUUAACGAUGAGCUAACUUAACUAGCACCAUUGGUCACUGCACUACAAUGUCACGCUAGCUAUUGCCAGCAGGUGAUUUGCUAGCAGGUGACUUAUUGAAAUAUUAAGUGAAUGUUUAUUUUCUUACUACCUUUUAAAAGGUUUAUAUAAAAGGGUUGUACUUGUGCUCUGUAUUUAUGGAUUAAUAUCACUUCACAUUGAGGGUAUGUAUCACUACUGUUGCUCCUAUCUAAAAGAUAUCUUGUGGGCUACCUAACCAGUGAACGUUUGUGGCUGUGACCGUCCUGUCAAUGCCUGUCAUCACUGUUUGACAUCUUUUACUGCAGGUUUGCUUUUCUGUAUUUUUGUUAUUGUAUACUAUACAAUCACUUUGUAGAUUGGGUCUGAGAGAGAUAUUCUGAGAGCAGUGAACGUGUGGCUGUGACCGUCCUGUCAAUGCCUGUCAUCACUGUUUGAUAUCUUUUACUUACUAAAAACCUAGUAAACCUGAAGUGCGGGUGUCCGUGCGCCUUUCUUCUGAGGGGCUAUGUAAAGUUGGUUACAUCAGCAAGGGACACACUUUGUAUGUGGACAAUUGGUACCUCAGUCCCACACACUUCCUGCAUCUGCUCUCCAACAGCACAGGGACCUGUAGCACAGUCAGGUCAAACGGGAAGGGGAUGCCGGCAUUCGGAUGCAGGAAGAUAAAGAGAGGGGAGGUGGAGUUCAAGGAGAACGGUCAACAGCUGGCAGUAAAGUGGCAUGACAAACGAGACGUCCAUGUCCUCUCCACUGUCCAUACAGCAACCAUGUCGGCCACAGGGAAGGUGGACCAACUGACGGGAGAGAGAAAAAUCAAACCAGACUAACUAACAGAUAAAGUAAUUACCUACCAAAAGUACAGAGAGAACCUUAUGAGGGACCUGCUGGAGGAGCACCACACCCAUCAGCGCCCAUCCACUGGGGGUCGUCCUGCUGCGGACAAUCCCCUAAGCCUCACUGCACGGCAUUUUCCCUGCAAAGACCCUCAAACUGCUGCUCAAGGUAGUCGCACACAGGCACUGCAAAGUUUGCCUGUCUGGCACCAUGAGAAGAAAGCAGAGGAAGUUGUCAAUAUACAUGCAUUUAGCUUGUGAUACACCUCUAUGUAUUUCACCAUGCUUUGGGGAGUAUCAUAUGCUCAAGCAAUAUUGAGCACAUCUGCAGCAAUUAGUGACUGACUGAUGGACCUGACAGGUGACUUUCCUUCCAUGAUACUAGUUGUUCAAUCACUGCAUGAAUAUUAAAUACGGGUUAUGGAUAUUCCGUUUUUUUUCCUCUAGUAAAAUGUUCAACCAACCACCACCAUUACUUACAUAUUGGCCUUUGUUUUCUUGCUGUGUUUUCAUCCAGUAAAACUUAAGGAGUGUACGGUAGCAUACAAAAGCUGGCCUCAAUCUGCAGCUCAAAAGAUGUCCAGUUCUAGUUAUGAUAUUAGCAAAUACUGUUUGUGGUUUCUGAAAGUACAGAAUAGAGGUAUUCUAAUGAAUAAUAAUUCAAUAUAAGGAUAUAGCAAUAAAACAAUAUUACAAAGAAGUAACAUAAUAAACACUGCUAAAAAAAAUGCUAUUGCAUUGACAAAAUCACAAAUUUGAGUUAUAACAGUAACUUCUGAGCUCCACAAGGGAGCAAGGCAGGCCAGAACAGAGCUAUGCUAAUAGGCCAACUGAAAACAAACCAUGGUUAUAUUUUUUUAUUUUAUUUAACCAUUAUUUAAC